This is a non-coding RNA of Lentinus tigrinus ALCF2SS1-7, 86 nucleotides long. The record is from the annotation of a GenBank genome assembly. NCBI's taxonomy places the organism in Eukaryota, Fungi, Basidiomycota, Agaricomycetes, Polyporales, Polyporaceae.
CCUUCGAUAGCUCAGUUGGAAGAGCGCAAGACUGUAAUGGUUAUCACGCGAUCUUGAGGCCGUUGGUUCGACCCCGACUCGAAGGA